RNAcentral lists this ribosomal RNA (497 nucleotides) under uncultured bacterium. RNAcentral's name for it is "partial 16S ribosomal RNA". It matches the Rfam family "Bacterial small subunit ribosomal RNA", at positions 28 to 507 of the family's 1533-position model. The record is from RNAcentral.
GAUGAACGCUGGCGGCGUGCCUAAUACAUGCAAGUCGAACGAACAGCCGCGGUUCUUGCUCCUCGGUCGAUAGCGGCGGACGUGUGAGUCACACGUGGAUAACCUACCUAUACGACUUGGAUCACUUCGGGAAACCGCAGCUAAUACCUUCUACUAUAUUGAACCACAUGGAUCCUUACUGAAAGACGGUGUUGCUGACACUUAUACAUUGAUCCGCGCCGCAUUAGCUAGUUGGUAAGGUAACGGCCUACCCAGGCCACGAUGCGUAGCAGACAUGAGAGCGUGAUCGGCCACCCGAGAACAGAGACACAGCCGACACUCCGGCGGGAAGCAGCAGUAGGGAAUCCUACGCGAGGGGGGAAAGGCGGACGGAGCAACGCCGCGUGAGUGAUGAUGGAGCUCGGAUGGGAGAACGAAGUUAUAAGGGAGGAACAAAAGUGCAAGUAGCAAUGAAGGUCUUGACGGUACCUAAUCAGGAAGCCACGGCUAACUACGUG